AGUGCCUUCGGGGGCUCCACCACCGCGCGCUCCCACCCUCAAGGUCUGCAGGACACACCAAAGAACUCCUCCAAGUCACACAAGGGAGAAAAUUAACUUCAUUGGCUUCUAUCAGGAAAGCUAUUUUUUUUUUCCUCUUCUUUCCUGCAAGUUUCCCAAACCCCAUGACUCUGAUUUCCAGGUCAGAGACUAAGGUUUUAUUUUUCUUACUCUGUAUACUUUAUAUGUGGAGAGUCCCUGAAGGAACACUGUGAUGGGCUGAUUACUGUGAGCCAGUUGUGGGCCAGACCUGGCCUCAGGUGCUGCAAAGGGAAUUCAGUCACCCCUGUGCAGUGAUCUGUGAGCCCCAAGUCAGAUCCAACUUUUUCCUGAUAGACAGCACCCUCCUCCUCCCUACCAAGAAAUAGCAGGGUUGGAGGUAGUGACCCAAUAUUCAAGAGGUUUGAAAUUCUACAUGAGAUAUUUCUGAGUUAACUCCUAAAUAGCAGUUUCCUUAAUCAUGUGGAAAAUAAGAACACUUACUAAAGAGACCAUUGGUUUAAGAGAAAUGGAAACUUAUGUCCACGUAAAAACCUGUAAAUGAAUGUUCACAGCAGCCUUUUCAUAAUAGCCAAAAAGGGAAAGCAAUCCACACGUCCAUCAACCAAUGAAUGGAUAAACUUAACGUGGGAUAUACGUGUAAUGGAAUGCUAUUUGGUGAAGAAAGAAAUGAAAUAUUAAUACAUGCGUUAACAAGGAUGGACCUUAAAAUAUCAUGCUAAGUAAGAGAAGCCUGUCACAAAAGAAUAUGUAUUGUACCAUUCUACUUAUAUGAAAUUCCUAGAAUAGGCAAUUCUAUAGGGACAGAAACUAGACUAGUGAUUGGCUAGAGCUUGGGGAGAGUUUGGGGAGCCUGGAGGAUGACAGCAAAGUGGUGCAGAGUUUCUUUUUAGGUUGAUUAAAUGUUGUAAAAUUAAUUGUAGUGAUGGUUGUGCAACUUUGUGAUUUUGUUAAAAACCAUUGCAUUUUGCCCUUUAAAUGGAUGAAUUGCACAAUGUGUGAAUUAGACAUAAGUUUAUUUACAUAAUUAAUAUCUAUUUAUUGAUAUAUAACUCAUAUAUCAAUAAAUAUAUACUAUAUAAAAUAAUUUUAUAUUUAUAUAAAAUGUGAAUUAUAUAUAAAUACAUAAAUAAAACUGCUAAAAACUAAAAAAUAUAUACUUUAAAAAAAGGCUGUUCGUUUCUUUCACAUUUUCUGAGCACAAUCACUUUGGGAUAAAUGUGUCCAGGCUUAAAAAGCCAGAUUUUAUGGGCUAACUAAAAUGGAAAUGUGAAAAACUGUGUUUUUUUCCAUAGGAGGAGAGAGUCUGAUUUGCAGGUACGUGCAUACCCACAGCAGUCAUACUUGUAAUUCUUGGAAACUUUGCUGAAAGUUUUUUCCUAGCCUGAAAUCAUUAAAAUAUGUUGAAACAAUGACA
RNAcentral lists this long non-coding RNA (1456 nucleotides) under Homo sapiens (human). RNAcentral describes it as "NFIB antisense RNA 1, transcript variant 3 (NFIB-AS1)". The record is from RNAcentral. Lineage: Eukaryota; Metazoa; Chordata; Mammalia; Primates; Hominidae.